CGCGGCCUAUCAGCUUGUUGGUGGGGUAGUGGCCUACCAAGGCGGCGACGGGUAGCCGGCCUGAGAGGGUGACCGGCCACAUUGGGACUGAGAUACGGCUCGGACUCCUACGGGAGGCAGCAGUGGGGAAUAUUGCACAAUGGGCGCAAGCCUGAUGCAGCAACGCCGCGUGCGGGAUGACGGCCUUCGGGUUGUAAACCGCUUUCAGCAGGGACGAAGCUUUUUGUGACGGUACCUGCAGAAGAAGCACCGGCUAACUACGUGCCAGCAGCCGCGGUGGUACGUAGGGUGCGAGCGUUGUCCGGAUUUAUUGGGCGUAAAGGGCUCGUAGGCGGUUGAUCGCGUCGGAAGUGGAAACUUGAUGCUUAACGUUGAGCGUGCUUUCGAUACGGGUUGACUUGAGGAAGGUAGGGGAGAAUGGAAUUCCUGGUGGAGCGGUGGAAUGCGCAGAUAUCAGGAGGAACACCAGUGGCGAAGGCGGUUCUCUGGACCUUUCCUGACGCUGAGGAGCGAAAGCGUGGGGAGCGAACAGGCUUAGAUACCCUGGUAGUCCACGCUGUAAACGGUGGGUACUAGGUGUGGGGUCCAUUCCACGGAUUCUGUGCCGUAGCUAACGCAUUAAGUACCCCGCCUGGGGAGUACGG
This 644-nucleotide ribosomal RNA is filed under the name uncultured Actinomycetes bacterium. RNAcentral's name for it is "bacterial SSU rRNA". It matches the Rfam family "Bacterial small subunit ribosomal RNA", at positions 232 to 885 of the family's 1533-position model. Lineage: Bacteria; Bacillati; Actinomycetota; Actinomycetes. The record is from RNAcentral.